UACAGAGGGUGCGAGCGUUAAUCGGAAUUACUGGGCGUAAAGCGUGCGUAGACGGCUAUCUAAGUCGGGUGUGAAAGCCCCGGGGCUCAACCUGGGAAUUGCAUUCGAGACUGAAUAGCUAGGGUACGGUAGAGGGAAGUGGAAUUUCCGGUGUAGCGGUGAAAUGCGUAGAUAUCGGAAGGAACAUCAGUGGCGAAAGCGACUUCCUGGACCAGUACCGACGUCAGGCACGAAAGCGUGGGGAGCAA
Molecule: ribosomal RNA, 248 nt
Filed under: uncultured bacterium
Lineage: Bacteria
Description: partial 16S ribosomal RNA
Rfam family: Bacterial small subunit ribosomal RNA
Source: RNAcentral